RNAcentral lists this ribosomal RNA (465 nucleotides) under Vreelandella stevensii. RNAcentral describes it as "partial 16S ribosomal RNA". It matches the Rfam family "Bacterial small subunit ribosomal RNA", at positions 338 to 795 of the family's 1533-position model. The record is from RNAcentral. Lineage: Bacteria; Pseudomonadati; Pseudomonadota; Gammaproteobacteria; Oceanospirillales; Halomonadaceae.
CCUACGGGGGGCAGCAGUGGGGAAUAUUGGACAAUGGGGGCAACCCUGAUCCAGCCAUGCCGCGUGUGUGAAGAAGGCCCUCGGGUUGUAAAGCACUUUCAGUGAGGAAGAACGCCUGGUGGUUAAUACCCAUCAGGAAAGACAUCACUCACAGAAGAAGCACCGGCUAACUCCGUGCCAGCAGCCGCGGUAAUACGGAGGGUGCGAGCGUUAAUCGGAAUUACUGGGCGUAAAGCGCGCGUAGGUGGCUUGAUAAGCCGGUUGUGAAAGCCCCGGGCCCAACCUGGGAACGGCAUCCGGAACUGUCAAGCUAGAGUGCAGGAGGGGAAGGUAGAAUUCCCGGUGUAGCGGUGAAAUGCGUAGAGAUCGGGAGGAAUACCAGUGGCGAAGGCGGCCUUCUGGACUGACACUGACACUGAGGUGCGAAAGCGUGGGUUGCAAACAGGAUUAGAUACCCCUGUAGUC